Molecule: non-coding RNA, 113 nt
Organism: Acanthosepion pharaonis
Lineage: Eukaryota; Metazoa; Mollusca; Cephalopoda; Sepiida; Sepiidae
Source: the annotation of a GenBank genome assembly
UUACGGCCAUAUCACGCCGAAACACUGUUUCCCGUACGAUCGCCGAAGUUAAGCAACGUCGAGCCUGGUCAGUAUCUAGAUAGUCGACUGCUUGGGUAUACCAGGUGGUGUAA